CAUUUUAUUAUACCCCCGCAACAAGUUGUGGGGGGUAUACUGGAAUCGGGUUGUCCGUCUGUCUGUCCGUCCGUCCGUCCGUCUGUAGACGCAAUGGUUUCCGGACUCUAAAGCAUUAUCCUUUCCACCUACCGUCACCAUAUCAUAUAUAUGGACUACCCAUGGGAUGAAGAUGUUCCCUAUCGAUUUUGGGGUCAAAAGGUCAAAGGUCAAGCACACUGGACAUCGAAGUAGCAAUAUGGUUUCCGGGCUCUAAAGCGUUAUCCUUUCCACCUACAGUCACCAUAUCAUACAUAUGGACUACCCCUGGGAUGAAGAUGUUCCCUAUCGAUUUUGGGGUCAAAAGAUCAAAGGUCACGCGCACUGGACAUCGAAGUAGCAAUAUGGUUCGGUUUGUCAUGCCAUUUGUUUUUUACACUCAGAAAAGAGGUAGUUUAUAGCUAUUACCAACACCCUUUGGGAUAUUGGGGUAAGCGGGGGUAUUCUUAGUGAGCAUUGCUCACAGUACGUACCUCUUGUUUUUUCUGUAAAAACAAAAAUCUAUUACGUACACAAGAUUUGCACAUUUAUAAAACAUUAUAUCAUUCAUAUAUAACAAGAAAUAGGGGUACCAAUAUUAAAGAACUCAUUGUUUGAACUAAAUUGCUCAUAAACUUGAUUGUCGAUCUUCUUGUUGGGAAUUUGAAAAUGGUUGAUGUACACUUUUUGAGGGGGGGGGGGGGGGGGAGUCUCAAAAAGUGUGCUUUUUCCACACUUUGGAAAAUGGUUGACAAUUAUGGAUGACCCCUAAUACAUGCGUCAACAAUAAGUCACAUAGCAACGAAUCCAAAUAGGUGAUACACGCUACCACUCAACGUGAUCGAUUGCAAUCAUGCGAACAAGCCUCAUGCAGUGAUAUAGAAUGCAACUAUUGGCAUAGAAUUAACCUGUAUCUCCGCCUCCCACUUCAAAUGUGUAAGAAAGCUCGUUCUCUACAGUCUGAAGUACAUUUCAAGCAGAUAGAUAAUCCAAUUAUUCUCCGUUUGCGUUAUCUGAACUUACUCGGCCGUCUUUACGAUAAUCCAGUGACAUAGACUCCAGCAUUUUCUCCUUGCCUUCCUCAUUAUCCGAUUCCUCGGACGAGAGGCUGCUGACUACAAAAAUAACAGUGUCACAAAUACAGCUCUGUAUACGGAAAUACUGUACUCUAAGAGUAUAGAUCUCUACCGUACGAAAGAAAUUGUGAGAAACAGAGGCAACUACAUGUAUAGUACCUUCUUGAGAGUCGAGCUCGUCAUUUUCCAGAAGAUUGAGGAGGACGUCCGUGGACUUGUGACGGCCGGACGAUUUGGUGGACCGGAUUUUCUGACGUUUUGAUGUAGAAGGCCCGUCUAGUAACAACCGCCGUAUUACUUGACUUUUACCCUGUGAACGAAGUAACAAAUUAUUCAUCUUACCGUGUUCCAUUGUUUAAAGAAGCAUUGUUGUCAUCAAAAAUGGAAUUCAAUGAAAAUUGCUCUAUAUUAUACAUGUAUAUUCCAGUAAUAACACCAGUAGUUAAUUAUUUCAAACAGUUUUUAACCCCGAAGCAGGCAUAUGAAUAUGUAAUUUUGAUGAUUAAAUAUUUAUUGUCUUGAAAAACAAUACUUCUUCCUUAUACCGGUAUUUUGUGUUUACACUAAAAGUGGAUAUCUAACGUAGGUUUAAUAAGUUUCUCUUGUAUUUGUACAAAAUAAAUGAUUUUAUCAAUCAUUUAUAUAUAUUCCUAUACCAUUGGAAGCUUUUGAGAGAGAGAAAUGGUUGUCUUAACUUUCACAGCUAAUGCCCCUUUAAUCAAGUCAAUAACAGAGUACAAAUGUUAUGAUUCUGUUGCAUAUUUUAAUAACGUGAAAUUACAAAGUUUUGAUAUCCUUGUGUUUCAUAUUUUGAUAAAGUGAAGUAAAUUAUUAAUAUUCUUGUGUUUCAUUUUUGAAUGGAGUAAACACGUAUGGAUUUUUAUUGCGUUUCCCAUUUUUAAUGAAAUGACGCAACGAUGUUAUUGGAUUCUAUUUUUGAAUGAAGUUGAAGUGACAUUCAUCUUAUCUAUAUUUAUGCCCCAUUGUUUGAUAAGGUGAGAUAACAAUAUAUAUGUCCUAUUGUGGUACAUUGUAUGGUGAAGUGAAAUGAACAUUCUAAAAUUUACCUUAGAUGUGUUCUGUUGUUUGUGGAUAAAUAUAUGCUUUUGUUUACUCUG
Ostrea edulis (European flat oyster) is the source of this 2212-nucleotide long non-coding RNA. RefSeq lists it as uncharacterized. The transcript is spliced from 3 exons. NCBI's taxonomy places the organism in Eukaryota, Metazoa, Mollusca, Bivalvia, Ostreida, Ostreidae. The record is from RefSeq and is a predicted model, not a curated record.